GAUGGAUGGAUUAUCCUUUUAGAAGCUAGUCUCAGGCAGUGAAAAACAUUUUUCUAAUACUUGUUUAUAAAUACUUCCAAUAUGUAUGUUAAUUCACUGCACGUUUGAUUUUGGUACUAUUUACGCUCCACAUGAGUGCUCUUUUUAGAUUAUUUUACAUACAUUUCUGCCUUAGACUUUAAUUUUUUAUUACAAUUAGUCCACUUGUUUAGUUUCCCACGUACGGAGGUCACCCAGUUAACACUGCAGUCUCGCAGGCUCACCACCCUAGGUCCGAAUCCCGCGCCCGGCCUCUGUCUGUGUGGGGUGGGUACAUUCCCUCCGUGUCUUAUUGAGAUUUCCUCUCACGUCCCAAAGACUGCAAGGUUAAGUCAAGUAAACUGGCGAUGCUAGUUUGGACCUUUGUCGGCGUGUACACGAACGUGCCCCGAAAUGCUCUGGCCCUCCUAAAACGAAGACUUCUGAGCUGCGCCUGAUGCUGCAGGGUGUAAACUUCACCCCUCUGCAAUACUGACCUGGAUUAGGGGGAUUCGACGGAGGUAGUAUUGUUUCACUCUGUGACGCUGCACCCCAAACUGUAUGAUGUCAUGCAGAUCCUCGGAAACGGAAGUCAUCCUACAUCUCGUAUCGAGGGCGGAUAAAGGGGGGAAGAAUAAC
Molecule: long non-coding RNA, 657 nt
Organism: Polypterus senegalus (gray bichir)
Lineage: Eukaryota; Metazoa; Chordata; Cladistia; Polypteriformes; Polypteridae
Exons: 3
Source: RefSeq, a predicted model, not a curated record